Long non-coding RNA from Apis cerana (Asiatic honeybee), 700 nucleotides. RefSeq lists it as uncharacterized. The record is from RefSeq and is a predicted model, not a curated record. Lineage: Eukaryota; Metazoa; Arthropoda; Insecta; Hymenoptera; Apidae.
GGGACAUUUUUUGUAGUUUAGAGAAACAAAACCAAGUUAUAAAUAUAUUUCUAUGUAUAUUCAUAUUUUUAUUCUAUAUAUAUUAUUUUAUAUUUUUAUGUCGCAUACAUAUUUAUGUAUAUUUUAUAUAUUAUCUCUUUAUUUCUUAUAUUUUUUGAAAAAUACUUAAACCACAGAUAAGAUAUAAUAUAGAUUCAAUAUUCAAUACAUUAUUUUAUUUUAUGUUUCAGAUACAUCAGAACAUUAACGUAGUUUUAAUGUAUUUUCAUCGAUUUAUAAUUAGAAUAAAUGAAGAACAAUGAAAGAUAGAGAUAAAAUUGAGAAUCAGUUCUAUUUCUUCAAAUCUAAAGAUCUUUUUAAAUAUAAAAUACAGAAAGUAUAAGAAUUUGAAGAUUAGCAAUAUCUUUUAAGUAUUUCUAAAAAGAAAUUUUGACACUCAAUAAAUGGCGGCAACUGACAAUUCUCAGUUCUUUAGCUUUCAAUAUUAAUCGAAAUCAUCUUUAAAAGAUAAAUAUAUAAAAGAAAAAUCAUCUUCACAAUGGGAGAAGUAUAUUAAGGCAAACAGAAAUAAGGAUUUUAUGAAUAAUUUUUUAAAAAUAUUGAAAAUUUUUAUAAAUAAAGAAAUGUAAAUAAAUGUAAAUGUAAAUGUAUAUGUAAAAAAUAUAAAAUAUAAAUAAAGAUACCAAUUUUUGUGAAUAAA